Molecule: non-coding RNA, 22 nt
Filed under: Arabidopsis thaliana (thale cress)
Lineage: Eukaryota; Viridiplantae; Streptophyta; Magnoliopsida; Brassicales; Brassicaceae
Source: RNAcentral
GUCAAUGUCUUGUGUGAAUGGU